CGAGCGAGGCCUAUUGGAGAGCUUGCUCUCCGAUAGAGUCGAGCGGCGAACGGGUGAGUAACACGUGGAUAACCUGCCUUUGGAUGGGGGAUAGCCCGGGGAAACUCGGAUUAAUACCGCAUGAUACCGCAAGGUCAAAGAGGGCUUCGGCUCUCGUCUGAAGAGGGGUCCGCGUACGAUUAGCUUGUUGGUGGGGUAAUGGCCUACCAAGGCGACGAUCGUUAGCCGGCCUGAGAGGGUGAUCGGCCACACUGGAACUGAGACACGGUCCAGACUCCUACGGGAGGCAGCAGUGGGGAAUUUUGCGCAAUGGGGGAAACCCUGACGCAGCAACGCCGCGUGGAGGAUGAAGGCCUUUGGGUUGUAAACUCCUGUCAGUGGGGAAGAAUGACCUAUGGGUUAAUACCCCGUAGGCUUGACGGUACCCGCAGAGGAAGCCCCGGCUAACUCUGUGCCAGCAGCCGCGGUAAUACAGAGGGGGCUAGCGUUAUUCGGAAUUAUUGGGCGUAAAGGGCGCGCAGGCGGCCUGGCAAGUGGAAGGUGAAAUCCCUCGGCUCAACCGAGGAACUGCCCUCCAAACUGCUAGGCUUGAGUCCGGGAGAGGCGAGUGGAAUUCCCAGUGUAGCGGUGAAAUGCGUAGAUAUUGGGAGGAACACCAGUGGCGAAGGCGACUCGCUGGACCGGAACUGACGCUGAGGCGCGAAAGCG
Molecule: ribosomal RNA, 708 nt
Filed under: uncultured Acidobacteriota bacterium
Lineage: Bacteria; Pseudomonadati; Acidobacteriota
Description: bacterial SSU rRNA
Rfam family: Bacterial small subunit ribosomal RNA
Source: RNAcentral